GCCGCUCUCUGGGUGGGGCGGAGAGGCGGCCGGAGGACCUGCGGCGGUCAGCUUCGGCUGCCUUGGGGCCUGCUCUGUUUCAGCGUCCUCCUGUGCGUUCAGCUAGGCACCAUGGGGAAGCGGGACAAUCGGGUGGCCUACAUGAACCCAAUAGCAAUGGCCAGAUCACGGGGUCCAGUCCAGUCUUCAGGGCCAACAAUCCAGGAUUAUCUGAAUCGACCAAGACCUACCUGGGAGGAAGUAAAAGAGCAGCUAGAAAAGAAAAAGAAAGGUUCCAAGGCUUUGGCUGAAUUUGAAGAAAAAAUGAAUGAGAAUUGGAAGAAAGAGCUAGAGAAACACAGAGAGAAAUUACUAAGUGGAAAUGAGAGCUCAUCCAAAAAAAGACAGAGAAAGAAAAAAGAAAAGAAAAAAUCUGGUAGGUAUUCAUCUUCUUCUUCAUCAAGCUCUGAUUCUUCCAGCAGCUCCUCAGACUCUGAAGACGAGGAUAAGAGACAAGUGAAGAGGAGAAAGAAAAAGAAGAGCCGAUCCCAUAAAUCUUCGGAAAGCUCCGUGUCAGAAUCUGAGUCAGACAGUAAGGAUGGUUUAAAAAAGAAAAAGAAGUCAAAGGAUGUGACUGAAAAAGAAAAGGACACUAAAGGACUCAGCAAAAAAAGAAAAAUGUAUGACGAUAAACCAUUAUCAUCUGAGUCAUCAUCAGAGUCAGAUUAUAUUGAAGAGGUACGAGCAAAAAAGAAGAAAAGCGGUGAAGAACGAGAGAAAACAAUAGUCUGGUACCUCUUCCUAGAACUUCCCUAGUUCUUAAAGUGAGGGGCCUUCUCUGAUACAAAGGUUCACCUGAAAAUAUAGGAUUCAGAGGACAAAACAAAGAAGAAGAAGAAGCAUAAGAAACACAGUAAGAAGAAGAAAAAGAAGGCCGCCAGUUCAAGUCCCGGCUCACCAUAACAUCAACACCAGGGUUCCUGAGAGAGUGCAAUGUCUAAGGAAAUCUCAACUGUGAAAAUGCUGACAUACUUACUAACGUGCAUGAAUUUCCUUGUUUUUAGAAUUACUCCUGGACUAUUCGGUAGCCGCUCAGAUUCCGCCAUGUGAAAGGCCCAUGAUUGUUGUUGCCUGUUGCUUGAACACCUUUUUCUCCAGUGCUUGGUAACUCUGGGAGAUAGUACACUGCAGUCAUACUAGUGGUUAAGAAGUUUGGAAUAAAGCUAAUAUUUUUACUAGAAGUACCUAAUAUAAGUCAACAGAAACUCAACCUGGACGCAUCUUUAAGAUGUAAUCAGAAUCAAUGAGAUGGCUCUAGUAAAAUUUUUGAAGUAGGGGUUACACUAAUACUUCAAAAUCCUUACUCUGUAGAUAAAUGUAUUUUAAUUUUCCCCCUUGUAAACUUUUAUUUCCCUGGGGAAGGAGCUUUUCAGGGGGUCUGCUAUGUAGCUAGCAGAACAGCGUGCCUUUGAUCCCCACACAUCCCACUUUGUGGACACUGUAGCCAUGCUUCCUGGGAGGCCCGAGCUGGGCACCAUCAGUCUGGCUCUUGACUGAGGUUAAUGACGUCCAUGGACUUCGUUGUAUGCUGCCUUGAGUGAACCAGAGAGACACAGCCCUUUGCAGCAUGAGAAAGCCCCCAGAGCUCUGGAAUUUACCUCCACUUCAAUAAUAACUGAAUGUUCUUUAGGCUGUGUUAUAUCAUUUGAAUUUUAACUAUACUUUUGAAAGGACUUGUUUCAAAUAGACACUGGUACUUUUUGAACUUGAUAGCUAAAGAUUCUAAAAUGCAUGUUUUAUACUGUUAAAAGUUUUAACCAGUCAGGAAAUUUUUAUGUAACCAGUGAUAGUUACUUUAUUUUUUGUAUGGGUUUUGUUCUGACUGCAACGUUUAGCUUUUGUUAACUCCUUAUUCUUGCUGUCUUAAGUUCAUUACUAUGUUAAAUGGCACACUUGCCAAGAUAUUUAGCAUGUAAAAAGCAGGACUUUUUGUUUUCAUUUUUAACAGCUUCAUAUUGAAGCUGACACUUACCACAAACAAGUUGAGUGGCAAGCCUGGUAUACUGUAUCUUGUUACAUAAAGCUAUUACCAGAAUCUUAGUAAACAUAAUGUUUUAAAAGUC
Nannospalax galili (Upper Galilee mountains blind mole rat) is the source of this 2102-nucleotide RNA transcript. It is a transcript of the gene named family with sequence similarity 133 member B, with no coding region annotated. The transcript is spliced from 12 exons. The record is from RefSeq and is a predicted model, not a curated record. Lineage: Eukaryota; Metazoa; Chordata; Mammalia; Rodentia; Spalacidae.